This 492-nucleotide ribosomal RNA is filed under the name uncultured bacterium. RNAcentral describes it as "partial 16S ribosomal RNA". It matches the Rfam family "Bacterial small subunit ribosomal RNA", at positions 28 to 507 of the family's 1533-position model. The record is from RNAcentral.
GAUGAACGCUAGCUACAGGCUUAACACAUGCAAGUCGAGGGGAAACGACAUCGAAAGCUUGCUUUUGAUGGGCGUCGACCGGCGCACGGGUGAGUAACGCGUAUCCAACCUGCCCAUCACUUGGGAAUAACCUUGCGAAAGUAAGACUAAUACCCAAUGACAUCCCACGAAGACAUCUGAAUGGGAUUAAGGAUUUAUCGGUGAUGGAUGGGGAUGCGUCUGAUUAGCUUGUUGGCGGGGUAACGGCCCACCAAGGCAACGAUCAGUAGGGGUUCUGAGAGGAAGGUCCCCCACAUUGGAACUGAGACACGGUCCAAACUCCUACGGGAGGCAGCAGUGAGGAAUAUUGGUCAAUGGGCGAGAGCCUGAACCAGCCAAGUAGCGUGCAGGAUGACGGCCCUAUGGGUUGUAAACUGCUUUUAUAAGGGAAUAAAGUGGGUCUCGUGAGACUUUUUGCAUGUACCUUAUGAAUAAGGACCGGCUAAGUCCGUG